UGACGGGACCCGCACAAGCGGUGGAUGAUGUGGAUUAAUUCGAUGCAACGCGAAAACCUUACCUACCCUUGACAUGCCACUAACGAAGCAGAGAUGCAUUAGGUGCUCGAAAGAGAAAGUGGACACAGGUGCUGCAUGGCUGUCGUCAGCUCGUGUCGUGAGAUGUUGGGUUAAGUCCCGCAACGAGCGCAACCCUUGUCUCUAGUUGCUACGAAAGGGCACUCUAGAGAGACUGCCGGUGACAAACCGGAGGAAGGUGGGGAUGACGUCAAGUCCUCAUGGCCCUUACGGCCUGGGCUACACACGUGCUACAAUGGUCGGUACAAAGGGUUGCCAAGCCGCGAGGUGGAGCUAAUCCCAUAAAACCGAUCGUAGUCCGGAUCGCAGUCUGCAACUCGACUGCGUGAAGUCGGAAUCGCUAGUAAUCGUGAAUCAGAAUGUCACGGUGAAUACGUUCCCGGGCCUU
Molecule: ribosomal RNA, 466 nt
Filed under: uncultured Rhodoferax sp.
Lineage: Bacteria; Pseudomonadati; Pseudomonadota; Betaproteobacteria; Burkholderiales; Comamonadaceae
Description: bacterial SSU rRNA
Rfam family: Bacterial small subunit ribosomal RNA
Source: RNAcentral